UACGUAGGGGGCAAGCGUUGUCCGGAAUCAUUGGGCGUAAAGCGCGUGUAGGCGGCUUGGUAAGUCCGCUCUGAAAGCCCGGGGCUCAACCCCGGGAGGCGGGUGGAUACUGUCAAGCUCGAGUCCGGAAGAGGCGAGUGGAAUUCCCAGUGUAGCGGUGAAAUGCGUAGAUAUUGGGAAGAACACCUGAGGCGAAGGCGGGUUGCUGGGCCGACACUGACGCUGAGGCGCGAAAGCCAGGGGAGCAAACGGG
This 253-nucleotide ribosomal RNA is filed under the name uncultured bacterium. Its description in RNAcentral is "partial 16S ribosomal RNA". It matches the Rfam family "Bacterial small subunit ribosomal RNA", at positions 524 to 776 of the family's 1533-position model. The record is from RNAcentral.